AAACUAACAAGGAUUCCCCUAGUAACGGCGAGUGAACCGGGAAGAGCUCAAAUUUGUAAUCUGGCCCUUGGGUCCGAGUUGUAAUCUAUAGAGGCGUUUUCCGUGCCGGACCGUGUCCAAGUCCCUUGGAACAGGGUAUCAAAGAGGGUGACAAUCCCGUACUUGACACGACGACCGGUGCUCUGUGAUACGUCUUCGACGAGUCGAGUUGUUUGGGAAUGCAGCUCAAAAUGGGUGGUAAUUCCAUCUAAAGCUAAAUAUUGGCGAGAGACCGAUAGCGAACAAGUACCGUGAGGGAAAGAUGAAAAGCACUUUGGAAAGAGAGUUAAACAGUACGUGAAAUUGUUAAAAGGGAAACGAUUGAAGUCAGUCGUGUCGGUUGGAUUCAGCUCGGUCUCCGGGUGUAUUUCCUUCCGACGGGUCAACAUCAGUUUGGAUCGGUGGAUAAAGAUGGAGGGAAGGUGGCAUCCUCGGAUGUGUUAUAGCCCUCUGUUGCAUACGCUGGUCCGGACUGAGGCAUGCAGCUCGCCUUUAUGGCCGGGGUUCGCCCACGUUCGAGCUUAGGAUGUUGACGUAAUGGCUUUAAACGAC
RNAcentral lists this ribosomal RNA (591 nucleotides) under Cryptococcus sp. SDY 227. RNAcentral describes it as "eukaryotic LSU rRNA". It matches the Rfam family "Eukaryotic large subunit ribosomal RNA", at positions 62 to 648 of the family's 3401-position model. The record is from RNAcentral. Lineage: Eukaryota; Fungi; Basidiomycota; Tremellomycetes; Tremellales; Cryptococcaceae.